Small nuclear RNA from Nyctereutes procyonoides (raccoon dog), 141 nucleotides. RefSeq annotates it as U4 spliceosomal RNA. The transcript has a single exon. The record is from RefSeq and is a predicted model, not a curated record. NCBI's taxonomy places the organism in Eukaryota, Metazoa, Chordata, Mammalia, Carnivora, Canidae.
AGCUUUGCACGGUGGCAGUAUCGUAGCCAAUGAGGUUUAUCCGAGGCGCGAUUAUUGCUAAUUGAAAACUUUUCUCAAACCUCUUCUGAAAAGAAACCUAAGGUGGAAUGAUAUGCAAAUGUUAUGCUCAUCAAAUGUGAU